Molecule: ribosomal RNA, 175 nt
Filed under: Sporosarcina newyorkensis
Lineage: Bacteria; Bacillati; Bacillota; Bacilli; Caryophanales; Caryophanaceae
Description: partial 16S rRNA. Bacterial SSU
Rfam family: Bacterial small subunit ribosomal RNA
Source: RNAcentral
CUUUUAUGGAGAGUUUGAUCCUGGCUCAGGACGAACGCUGGCGGCGUGCCUAAUACAUGCAAGUCGAGCGAAUCUUUGGGAGCUUGCUCCUAAAGAUUAGCGGCGGACGGGUGAGUAACACGUGGGCAACCUACCUUACAGAUGGGGAUAACUCCGGGAAACCGGGGCUAAUACC